Molecule: ribosomal RNA, 468 nt
Filed under: uncultured bacterium
Lineage: Bacteria
Description: partial 16S ribosomal RNA
Rfam family: Bacterial small subunit ribosomal RNA
Source: RNAcentral
GACGAACGCUGGCGGCGUGCUUAACACAUGCAAGUCGAACGGAAAGGCCCUGCUUUUGUGGGGUGCUCGAGUGGCGAACGGGUGAGUAACACGUGAGUAACCUGCCCUUGACUUUGGGAUAACUUCAGGAAACUGGGGCUAAUACCGGAUAGGAGCUCCUGCUGCAUGGUGGGGGUUGGAAAGUUUCGGCGGUUGGGGAUGGACUCGCGGCUUAUCAGCUUGUUGGUGGGGUAGUGGCUUACCAAGGCUUUGACGGGUAGCCGGCCUGAGAGGGGGACCGGCCAAAUUGGGAUUGGGCUACGGCCCAGACUCCUAUGGGAGGCAGCAGUGGGGAAUAUUGCAUAACGCGCGGAAGCCUAAUGUGGCACAGCCGCGUGGGGGAUAUGGGCCUGCGGGUAGGAAACCGAUUUCCUCUGUGACGAAGCGUGAGUGACGGUAAUGGGUAAAGAAGCACCGGCUAACUACGUG